GGNNNNUCGCUGGUCCGCGUCUAGCUAUAGCUAUGUGGGCCAGCAUCGAUCGAUCAGCUACGAUCUGCNNNNUCAGCUAGCUAUAGCUAUAGGUCGACCGACUGANNGGCUAGCCNAGCUAGCAUAAUGAGCUGNCCACCCUAGCUACGAUGNNNAGCUAUAUGCAGCUGCGCAGCGACGCCNNNGUGAGUGAUGAAGGCCUUCGGGUCGUAAAGCUCUGUCGCAGGGAAUAACACAAUGAAGGUACCUGUGGGAAAGGAUCGGCUAAUUUCGUGCCAGCAGCCGGGGUAAGACGAGGAAUCCUAGCGUUGUCGGAAUUAUUGGGCCUUAAGCGGGUGUAGGUUGCUAUUUAAGUCAAGUGUGAAAGCCGGGGGCUCAACCCAGAAGUGCAAUUGAUACUGCGUAGCUUGAGGCCUGGAGAGGUUACUAGAAUUUUGGUGGUGUGGGGGAAAUACGUAGAAAUCAAGAGGAAUACCCCAGGCGAAGGCGGGUACCUGGCCAAGGGCACUGACACCAGACCCGAAAGGGUGGGGAUCAAACAGGAUUAGAUACCCUGGUAGUCCACGCCGUAAACGAUGGAUAUUUGUUGUUGGAGGAAUUGACCCCUUUUCAGUGACGAAGCUAACGCGUUUAAGUAUCCCGCCUUGGGGGAGCGGUCGCAAGGUUUAAAACUAAAGAAAAAUUUUGACGGGGGCCCGCACAAGCGGUGGAGCAUGUGGUUUAACCGAUGACAACGGGAAGAGAACUUCUAGGCUUGACAUGACUGCAGAUGUUCGAAACGUGCCGUCGCUCGCAGAGUCGUACAGGUGCUGCAUGCUGUCGUCAGCUCGUGUCGU
RNAcentral lists this ribosomal RNA (836 nucleotides) under uncultured bacterium. RNAcentral describes it as "partial 16S ribosomal RNA". The stretch from base 147 to 836 matches the Rfam family "Bacterial small subunit ribosomal RNA", at positions 1 to 1068 of the family's 1533-position model. The record is from RNAcentral.